GAGAGAGAGAGAGAGAGAGAGAGAGAGAGAGAGAGAGAGUUACUUCUGCUGGGAUCAAAUGGAGGAUCAGGAACGGGAGGAUCAUCGGUUUGAGUGGAGGGUGGUAGCGGUGGCUCAUCAGAAGGAAGAGCUUCUUCUUCUUGGUCUGUGUCUGCUUCUGCUUCUGGUUCAGAUUCUCCUUCUUCUUCUUCUUGUUCCUCUUGCUGGGAUGAUUCUUCUUCUUGUUGGUGUUGAGCCAAGUUUUGUUGUGGUUGGUCCAUUUGGGCAAACAAGAGUGUUGCAGAGAGGAGGUGAAGAAUGGACCAGAGAUCCGUGCUUCGGGGUGUAAUAGAGAGGAGGUGAAGAAGAAGAAGAGAGAAGAGUUGUGGAGGAGGCGAUGUGAACUGAGAGAGGUUAGUGAGGUCUUAGCUAAGGGCCUCUCAUCGGAGUACCCACGCAAACACCGGCUAAGGAGGCGAAAUCAGAAAACAGGUCCAAGUUAAGCCCAUUAAUAUUAGUACCGAUAGAGACCAAACAUGGGAUUAAUCUUGUUUCACUCCUUAUUUAGCACUGGCUUAGGUAAUACCGGGUACCAAACGUACCCUUUGAGUGUUGGGUGGAAAAUCCUAUCUAAAAGAAAGAGUUGGUUAUUUUGAUUCAAUCACUGUGUGAUGUAUAAUUAGCUUUAGAAUUCAUUGUUUGCAGUAUGAAUCAAGCAGCUAGGAAAUAACCUUGAUUGACAUAUUGUCAUUUCUGUUAUAUAGAAGCUCACUAGUUGAGUCACUCAGUUUAGUGAAUUUUAGUAGCCACCAUUGCUUUUUAUGAGGCCACAACGUUAUCGAUUCACCAUCUCUUUAGUGAAUCGAUAUCUAUAUCAAAGAGAUAAACUAGUGAAAAUUAUUACAAAUUGAGCGGGAUUGAGAUCGAAGUACUUAAUAUUGAAGCAGUGAAUAGAAGUUACAUAAGAGGAAAAAGAGUGAAGUUCUCUUUAGCCCCUUUUCAUGGUUAUUAUCCUUCAGAAACUGCAUAUUUUGAAUAUGAUGACAGGUGAAGAAAGUGGACUGAUAUGAUCGAGUGAAUUAAUUGAAUACCUACUUGAUAUUGAAAGACUGUUUGAUUAUGCAAUUGAUAACAAUCUAUUAAUGAUCAUACAUUUUGAAGUCAAAGGAAUUUUUCAGGUUAUGAAUUAUAUAUGAUAGACAUCUCCAUAUAGUGUGUGU
This 1199-nucleotide long non-coding RNA is filed under the name Fragaria vesca (wild strawberry). RNAcentral's name for it is "long non-coding RNA (FVES_LNC001759)". Lineage: Eukaryota; Viridiplantae; Streptophyta; Magnoliopsida; Rosales; Rosaceae. The record is from RNAcentral.